UACGUAGGGCGCAAGCGUUGUCCGGAAUUAUUGGGCGUAAAGAGCUUGUAGGUGGUUUGUCGCGUCUGCUGUGAAAAUCCGAGGCUCAACCUCGGACUUGCAGUGGGUACGGGCAGACUAGAGUGUGGUAGGGGAGACUGGAAUUCCUGGUGUAGCGGUGGAAUGCGCAGAUAUCAGGAGGGAACACCGGUGGGCGAAGGCGGGUCUCUGGGCCGUAACUGGACGCUGGAGGAGCGAAA
RNAcentral lists this ribosomal RNA (239 nucleotides) under uncultured bacterium. RNAcentral describes it as "partial 16S ribosomal RNA". It matches the Rfam family "Bacterial small subunit ribosomal RNA", at positions 524 to 758 of the family's 1533-position model. The record is from RNAcentral.